Molecule: ribosomal RNA, 403 nt
Filed under: uncultured bacterium
Lineage: Bacteria
Description: bacterial SSU rRNA
Rfam family: Bacterial small subunit ribosomal RNA
Source: RNAcentral
UGAGGAAUAUUGCACAAUGGGGGGAACCCUGAUGCAGCAACGCCGCGUGGAGGAUGAAGGCUUUUGGGUCGUAAACUCCUUUUCUGCGGGAAGAGGAAGGACGGUACCGCAGGAAUAAGUCACGGCUAACUACGUGCCAGCAGCCGCGGUAACACGUAGGUGACAAACGUUAUCCGGAAUUACUGGGCGUAAAGCGCGCGCAGGCGGUCGGACAAGUUUGGCGUGAAAGCUCUCGGCUUAACCGGGAGAGGUCGUCGAAAACUGUUUGGCUUGAGGCAGUGAGAGGGGUGUAGAAUUCCAGGUGUAGUGGUGGAAUGCGUAGAUAUCUGGAGGAAUACCAGUGGCGAAAGCGGCACCCUGGCAUUGACCUGACGCUGAAGUGCGAAAGCGUGGGGAGCGAACG